Molecule: small nucleolar RNA, 131 nt
Organism: Alnus glutinosa
Lineage: Eukaryota; Viridiplantae; Streptophyta; Magnoliopsida; Fagales; Betulaceae
Product: small nucleolar RNA snoR137
Exons: 1
Source: RefSeq, a predicted model, not a curated record
GUUGCUUCUUACUGGUGAACUCUCCCUUGUUUCAAAGUGGAGGAUGUUCAUGUUACUAAUCUUUGCCAGUAUUAAACAGCGCUGUGUAUUUUUUUUUUGUUGCACUGUGCUACCUGUCUCCUGGUACAUUU